This 441-nucleotide ribosomal RNA is filed under the name uncultured bacterium. RNAcentral's name for it is "partial 16S ribosomal RNA". It matches the Rfam family "Bacterial small subunit ribosomal RNA", at positions 338 to 795 of the family's 1533-position model. The record is from RNAcentral.
CCUACGGGUGGCAGCAGUGAGGAAUAUUGGUCAAUGGCCGGAAGGCUGAACCAGCCAUGCCGCGUGAAUGAUGAAGGUUUUCGGAUUGUAAACUUCUGUCGCGAGGGACGAAGAAUGACGGUACCUCGUAAGAAAGCCCCGGCUAACUACGGGCCAGCAGCCGCGGUAAUACGUAGGGGGCAAGCGUUGUCCGGAAUGACUGGGCGUAAAGGGAGUGUAGGCGGCCUUGUAAGUUAGGUGGGAAAUCCUACGGCUUAACCGUAGAACUGCAUCUAAAACUGAGAGGCUGGAGUGCAGGAGAGGUGAGUGGAAUUCCUAGUGUAGCGGUGGAAUGCGUAGAUAUUAGGAGGAACACCAGAGGCGAAGGCGACUCACUGGACUGUAACUGACGCUGAGGCUCGAAAGCGUGGGGAGCAAACAGGAUUAGAUACCCUUGUAGUC